This 253-nucleotide ribosomal RNA is filed under the name uncultured bacterium. RNAcentral's name for it is "partial 16S ribosomal RNA". It matches the Rfam family "Bacterial small subunit ribosomal RNA", at positions 524 to 776 of the family's 1533-position model. The record is from RNAcentral.
UACGGGGGGGGCAAGCGUUGUUCGGAAUUACUGGGCGUAAAGGGCUCGUAGGCGGCCCACUAAGUCAGACGUGAAAUCCCUCGGCUUAACCGGGGAACUGCAUCUGAUACUGGAUGGCUUGAGUUCGGGAGAGGGAUGCGGAAUUCCAGGUGUAGCGGUGAAAUGCGUAGAUAUCUGGAGGAACACCGGUGGCGAAGGCGGCAUCCUGGACCGACACUGACGCUGAGGAGCGAAAGCGUGGGGAGCGAACAGG